This 503-nucleotide ribosomal RNA is filed under the name uncultured soil bacterium. Its description in RNAcentral is "bacterial SSU rRNA". It matches the Rfam family "Bacterial small subunit ribosomal RNA", at positions 26 to 528 of the family's 1533-position model. The record is from RNAcentral.
AGAUUGAACGCUGGCGGCAUGCCUUACACAUGCAAGUCGAACGGCAGCACGGGAGCAAUCCUGGUGGCGAGUGGCGAACGGGUGAGUAAUACAUCGGAACGUGCCUAGUAGUGGGGGAUAACCCGGCGAAAGCCGGACUAAUACCGCAUACGACCUAUGGGUGAAAGCAGGGGAUCGCAAGACCUUGCGCUAUCGGAGCGGCCGAUGUCAGAUUAGCUUGUUGGCGGGGUAAAAGCCCACCAAGGCGACGAUCUGUAGCUGGUCUGAGAGGACGACCAGCCACACUGGGACUGAGACACGGCCCAGACUCCUACGGAGGCAGCAGUGGGAAUUUUGGACAAUGGGGGAAACCUGAUCCAGCCAUGCCGCGUGAGUGAAGAAGGCCUUCGGUGUAAAGCUCUUUCAGUCCGGAACGAAACGUCACGGUUAAUAACCGUGACUACGUGACGGUACCGGAAGAAGAAGCACCGCUAACUACGUGACCAGCACGCCGCGUAAUCUGA